This 305-nucleotide ribosomal RNA is filed under the name uncultured bacterium. Its description in RNAcentral is "bacterial SSU rRNA". It matches the Rfam family "Bacterial small subunit ribosomal RNA", at positions 338 to 658 of the family's 1533-position model. The record is from RNAcentral.
CCUACGGGGGGCAGCAGUGGGGAAUAUUGGGCAAUGGGCGCAAGCCUGACCCAGCAACGCCGCGUGAAGGAAGAAGGCUUUCGGGUUGUAAACUUCUUUUGACAGGGAAGAGCAGAAGACGGUACCUGUCGAAUAAGCCACGGCUAACUACGUGCCAGCAGCCGCGGUAAUACGUAGGUGGCAAGCGUUAUCCGGAUUUACUGGGUGUAAAGGGCGUGUAGGCGGGACUGCAAGUCAGAUGUGAAACCCAUGGGCUCAACCCAUGGCCUGCAUUUGAAACUGUAGUUCUUGAGUGAUGGAGAGGG